RNAcentral lists this ribosomal RNA (525 nucleotides) under Triticum aestivum (bread wheat). Its description in RNAcentral is "partial small subunit ribosomal RNA". The record is from RNAcentral. Lineage: Eukaryota; Viridiplantae; Streptophyta; Magnoliopsida; Poales; Poaceae.
AUGCCCACGCCGGCGCCGCACCUCGUCGACGAGAUCCUGGAGGAGAUCUUCCUCCGCCUGCCCACCCCGGCCGAGCUCGCCCGCGCCUCAACCGCCAGCCCCCGUUUCCGCCGCAUCAUCACCGACCGCUCCUUCCUCCGCCGCCACCGCAAACUCUACCCACCUCCUCUCCUAGGCCUCGUACACCAGGAUAGCGGCUUCCAGCCAGCCGAGGCGCCCCAGGCCUCCGCCCCGCUCGCUCGCGCCCUCGCCGACGCCGCUGAUUUCACCUACUCCUUCGUCCCCGUGCGGCCGUGCGCAGCAAGGGCAUCCCCUGGCAAGUCCGCGACGGCCGCGUCCUCCUUGAGGACUGCCGAUUUUUGGAGACCCUCAAAGACAUGGCGGUGUGUGAUCCCUUGUCACGGCGCUACGUGCUGCUCCCGCCCAUACCGACGGACCUCGCUGUCCAGGAAGAGCACCCACUUGAUAUGGUGCCCAUCCUUGCUCCCAUUGGCGAUGAUGAAGAUGAGAUGUCGUUCAAGGUGA